Molecule: ribosomal RNA, 253 nt
Filed under: uncultured bacterium
Lineage: Bacteria
Description: partial 16S ribosomal RNA
Rfam family: Bacterial small subunit ribosomal RNA
Source: RNAcentral
UACGUAGGGUGCUAGCGUUAAUCGGAAUUACUGGGCGUAAAGUGUGCGCAGGCGGCAGAGCAAGUCGAGUGUGAAAGCCCCGGGCUUAACUUGGGAAUUGCGCUCGAAACUACUUUGCUGGAGUGUGGCAGAGGAAGGUGGAAUUCCACGUGUAGCGGUGAAAUGCGUAGAGAUGUGGAGGAACACCAAUGGCGAAGGCAGCCUUCUGGGCCAACACUGACGCUCAUGCACGAAAGCGUGGGGAGCAAACAGG